AUGCUUUGUGGUUUUAAGCUGUAUUUUGGUGCUACAACUUUAUAUACACUUUUUUUAUUGUUGUUUUUAGACGAUGUCUCUGUUUCCUUCUCAUUCGGAAAUGGAUGGGUGGACAGAUGCAACACACUGAAAGAACAGCUGUACAGAAGCCUAGAAAACGUUCCUGCCGCUGCCAACACAAACGGACAAACAAAGAUUUCAAGUCAUAGACUGGGUUGA
This 219-nucleotide long non-coding RNA is filed under the name Rattus norvegicus (Norway rat). Its description in RNAcentral is "long non-coding RNA NONRATT033090". The record is from RNAcentral. Lineage: Eukaryota; Metazoa; Chordata; Mammalia; Rodentia; Muridae.